Long non-coding RNA from Prinia subflava (tawny-flanked prinia), 797 nucleotides. RefSeq lists it as uncharacterized. The record is from RefSeq and is a predicted model, not a curated record. The transcript has 8 exons. Lineage: Eukaryota; Metazoa; Chordata; Aves; Passeriformes; Cisticolidae.
CAGAGAAGCUGCUGCAGACACUUUCCUGCCUUUUGCAGUACCGGUUUACACUUUGCACAUGGAUGUGUAUUCCUUGUCACCACACCAAGAAUAAAGGAAAGAGAGAAGCUGCUGCAGACACUUUCCUGCCUUUUGCAGUGCCAGUUUACACUUUGCACAUGGAUGUGUUUUCCUUGUCACCAGACCAAGAAUAAAGGAAAGAGAGAAGCUGCUGCAGACACUUUCCUGCCUUUUGCAGUGCCAGUUUACACUUUGCACAUGGAUGUGUUUUCCUUGUCACCAGACCAAGAAUAAAGGAAGCAGAGAAGCUGCUGCAGACACUUUCCUGCCUUUUGCAGUACCGGUUUACACUUUGCACAUGGAUGUGUAUUCCUUGUCACCACACCAAGAAUAAAGGAAAGAGAGAAGCUGCUGCAGACACUUUCCUGCCUUUUGCAGUGCCAGUUUACACUUUGCACAUGGAUGUGUUUUCCUUGUCACCAGACCAAGAAUAAAGGAAGCAGAGAAGCUGCUGCAGACACUUACUUGCCUUUUGCAGUACCGGUUUACACUUUGCACAUGGAUGUGUAUUCCUUGUCACCACACCAAGAAUAAAGGAAAGAGAGAAGCUGCUGCAGACACUUUCCUGCCUUUUGCAGUGCCAGUUUACACUUUGCACAUGGAUGUGUUUUCCUUGUCACCAGACCAAGAAUAAAGGAAGCAGAGAAGCUGCUGCAGACACUCUCUUGCCUUUUGCAGUACCGGUUUACGCUUUGCACAUGGAUGUGUAUUCCUUGUCACCAGACCAAGAAUAAAGG